RNAcentral lists this ribosomal RNA (253 nucleotides) under uncultured bacterium. Its description in RNAcentral is "partial 16S ribosomal RNA". It matches the Rfam family "Bacterial small subunit ribosomal RNA", at positions 524 to 776 of the family's 1533-position model. The record is from RNAcentral.
UACGUAGGCAGCGAGCGUUGUUCGGAAUUACUGGGCGUAAAGAGCUUGUAGGCGGUUUGUCGCGUCUGCCGUGAAAAUCCGGGGCUCAACCCCGGACUUGCGGUGGGUACGGGCAGACUAGAGUGUGGUAGGGGAGACUGGAAUUCCUGGUGUAGCGGUGAAAUGCGCAGAUAUCCGGAGGAACACCGACGGCGUAGGCAGCGCCCUGGACGACACCUGACGCUGAGGCACGAAAGCUGGGGGAGCGAACAGG